Molecule: ribosomal RNA, 515 nt
Filed under: uncultured bacterium
Lineage: Bacteria
Description: partial 16S ribosomal RNA
Rfam family: Bacterial small subunit ribosomal RNA
Source: RNAcentral
GAUGAACGCUGGCGGCGUGCCUAAUACAUGCAAGUCGAGCGAAUGGAUUAAGAGCUUGCUCUUAUGAAGUUAGCGGCGGACGGGUGAGUAACACGUGGGUAACCUGCCCAUAAGACUGGGAUAACUCCGGGAAACCGGGGCUAAUACCGGAUAACAUUUUGAACCGCAUGGUUCGAAAUUGAAAGGCGGCUUCGGCUGUCACUUAUGGAUGGACCCGCGUCGCAUUAGCUAGUUGGUGAGGUAACGGCUCACCAAGGCAACGAUGCGUAGCCGACCUGAGGGGGGGAUCGGCCACACUGGGACUGAGACACGGCCCAGACUCCUACGGGAGGCAGCAGUAGGGAAUCUUCCGCAAUGGACUAAAGUCUGACGGAGCAACGCCGCGUGAGUGAUGAAGGCUUUCGGGUCGUAAAACUCUGUUGUUAGGGAAGAACAAGUGCUAGUUGAAUAAGCUGGCACCUUGACGGUACCUAACCAGAAAACCACGGCUAACUACGUGCCAGCCGCCGCAGUAA